GACGAACGCUGGCGGCGUGCUUAACACAUGCAAGUCGAACGGUGAAGCGCCUUCCUUUUUGGUGGGUGUGGAUGAGUGGCGAACGGGUGAGUAACACGUGAGUAACCUGCCCCCUUCUUCUGGAUAACCGCAUGAAAGUGUGGCUAAUACGGGAUAUUCUGGGUCUGUCGCAUGAUGGGUCUGGGAAAGAUAUUGUUUCGGUGGGGGAUGGGCUCGCGGCCUAUCAGCUUGUUGGUGGGGUGAUGGCCUACCAAGGCGGUGACGGGUAGCCGGCCUGAGAGGGUGGACGGUCACACUGGGACUGAGCCACGGCCACGACUCCUACGGGCGGCAGCAGUGGGGAAUAUUGCACAAUGGGCGCAAGGCUGAUGCAGCGACGCCGCGUGAGGGAUGGAGGCCUUCGGGUUGUGAACCUCUUUCGCCAGUGAAGCAGGCCUGCCUCGUUUGUGGGUGGGUUGACGGUAGCUGGAUAAGAAGCGCCGGCUAACUACGUG
RNAcentral lists this ribosomal RNA (494 nucleotides) under uncultured bacterium. RNAcentral's name for it is "partial 16S ribosomal RNA". It matches the Rfam family "Bacterial small subunit ribosomal RNA", at positions 28 to 507 of the family's 1533-position model. The record is from RNAcentral.